Molecule: non-coding RNA, 226 nt
Filed under: Paenibacillus sabinae
Lineage: Bacteria; Bacillati; Bacillota; Bacilli; Caryophanales; Paenibacillaceae
Description: T-box sequence
Rfam family: T-box leader
About the family: Uncharged tRNA acts as the effector for transcription antitermination of genes in the T-box leader family. T-boxes are found upstream of many aminoacyl-tRNA synthetase genes and some amino acid biosynthetic genes usually in Gram-positive bacteria. The anticodon of a specific tRNA base pairs to a specifier sequence within the T-box motif, and the NCCA acceptor tail of the tRNA base pairs to a conserved bulge in the T-box antiterminator hairpin.
Source: RNAcentral
AGACAGUCGAUGAUCGGGAGAUUAGUGAAGGGCCCCUGAUGCCCAGCGAGCCGGGAUGGUGGAAGCCGGCGGCAGACCUUCAUGAAGCGCACCCGGGAGACGGACUUCCGAAACGAUCCUCUUAGUAGGAAGCCCCGGUACAGGUCCGUUAUCCUAUAAGCGGUCAGGGCCAUCCGGUCUUGGCAAGUAGAGUGGUACCGCGAGAACACAAGUCCUCGUCUCUUUU